This 253-nucleotide ribosomal RNA is filed under the name uncultured bacterium. RNAcentral describes it as "partial 16S ribosomal RNA". It matches the Rfam family "Bacterial small subunit ribosomal RNA", at positions 524 to 776 of the family's 1533-position model. The record is from RNAcentral.
UACGUAGGGGGCUAGCGUUGUCCGGAAUCAUUGGGCGUAAAGCGCGCGUAGGCGGCCAGAUAAGUCCGGUGUGAAAGUCACAGGCUCAACCUGUGAAUGCCGCUGGAGACUGUCUGGCUAGAGUCCGGAAGGGGCGAGUGGAAUCCCUGGUGUAGCGGUGAAAUGCGCAGAUAUCAGGAGGAACACCAAUGGCGAAGGCAGCUCGCUGGAACGGUACUGACGCUGAGGCGCGAAAGCGUGGGGAGCGAACAGG